RNAcentral lists this transfer RNA (92 nucleotides) under Dothistroma septosporum NZE10. RNAcentral describes it as "tRNA-Ala for anticodon AGC". It matches the Rfam family "tRNA". From Rfam's summary of the family: Transfer RNA (tRNA) molecules are approximately 80 nucleotides in length. Their secondary structure includes four short double-helical elements and three loops (D, anti-codon, and T loops). Lineage: Eukaryota; Fungi; Ascomycota; Dothideomycetes; Mycosphaerellales; Mycosphaerellaceae. The record is from Rfam by way of RNAcentral.
GGGCGCAUGGUUUAGUGGUAUAAUACCUCUUUAGCACCUGCCCACAGAAGCUGAAUUAGAGGUGGUCCUGGGUUCGAUUCCCAGUGCGUCCA